UACGUAGGGUGCAAGCGUUGUCCGGAAUUACUGGGCGUAAAGAGCUCGUAGGCGGUUCGUCGCGUCGGCUGUGAAAUCCCGAGGCUCAACCUCGGGUCUGCAGUCGAUACGGGCGGACUGGAGUACUGCAGGGGAGACUGGAAUUCCUGGUGUAGCGGUGAAAUGCGCAGAUAUCAGGAGGAACACCGGUGGCGAAGGCGGGUCUCUGGGCAGUUACUGACGCUGAGGAGCGAAAGCGUGGGGAGCGAACAGG
RNAcentral lists this ribosomal RNA (253 nucleotides) under uncultured bacterium. RNAcentral's name for it is "partial 16S ribosomal RNA". It matches the Rfam family "Bacterial small subunit ribosomal RNA", at positions 524 to 776 of the family's 1533-position model. The record is from RNAcentral.